Molecule: long non-coding RNA, 360 nt
Organism: Cyprinus carpio (common carp)
Lineage: Eukaryota; Metazoa; Chordata; Actinopteri; Cypriniformes; Cyprinidae
Source: Ensembl
AUGUUCCCUGGAACCGGUGGACCUGGGGUCCCAGGUGGUGAUAGCAGGUUGCAGCCUGGUCCUCAGGGGCCUCCUGGACCACCAGGCCCUCCAGGUCCCCCAGGGGCCCAAGGGUUUACAGGAAUCCAAGGCCCACAGCCUCCUGUUUUGCUGCCUCAGGAUUCAGCUUCCACGGGCAAGGAGGGCUGUGGCGAAUGCUCCAAGGGCCUACCAGGUGUGCCCGGCGUGGUUGGUGCUAAGGGCGAGAAGGGAGAUCAGGGCAAGCCUGGCGUUGAACACUUAGAUAGAUGCGAACGGUGUUUAGAGAAGCUGCAGAGAGAAGAAACACCAAGUAGGCCUGUAAGUCUGUGGACCGAAUGA